Molecule: ribosomal RNA, 459 nt
Filed under: uncultured bacterium
Lineage: Bacteria
Description: partial 16S ribosomal RNA
Rfam family: Bacterial small subunit ribosomal RNA
Source: RNAcentral
CCUACGGGUGGCAGCAGUGAGGAAUAUUGGUCAAUGGACGAGAGUCUGAACCAGCCAAGUAGCGUGAGGGAUGACUGCCCUAUGGGUUGUAAACUUCUUUUAUAAAGGAAUAACACGAGGCACGUGUGCCUUUUGCAUGUACUUUAUGAAUAAGGAUCAGCUAACUCCGUGCCAACAGCCGCGGUAAUAAGGAGGAUCCGAGCGUUAACCGGAUUUAUUGGGGUUAAAGGGAGAGUAGAGGGGGUGUGAAGUGAGUUGUGAAAGUGUGCGGUUCAACCGUAAAAUUGCAAUUGAUACUGGCAGUCUUGAGUACAGUUGAGGUAGGCGGAAUUCGUGGUGUAGCGGUGAAAUGCUUAGAUAUCACGAAGAACCCCGAUUGCGAAGGCAGCUUACUAAACUGUGACUGACAUUGAGGCUCGAAAGUGUGGGUAGCAAACAGGAUUAGAUACCCGGGUAGUC